AAAAAUGACAUUGUUCAUCCUAGAUGUUGCGGCUGGUCGUCUGUUAUUGUUCAUCGUUCUUUUCUAUCCGGUCCUAUCCAGUUUACAGAAACCAAUGAUGAGUGUCAGUCAUAAUGAGAAGGAUGUUAUCAUCACCUGUGAGAUUCCUCGACCUGCUGGUAAUGACACCACCUGUAAUCUGUAUGUUGGAGACCAGAGUCAACAUCUCCUGAAGACAAAGAUCUGGAAGAAAACAUCAUCCAGGUCCAAGACAUCAUUCUGUCUGUUCACUGUGACUGAAGAUGACCUGAUCAGACAUCUACAGUCAGUAGGGAGUCAGGAGGUGAGCUGUGACUACAGAGUGAGUUCAGGACCAAACUCUCUCUCUCCACGUAGUGACGGGUACAUUAUAACAAAUUUGCUAGCUAGUGCUGCUUUGAUCCCCAAAACCCCACUGAGGCCAACUACCAGUUCAACCUCUUAUUUGACCCCCACAGCAACUACAUCAGGUUGGACUGUUAGUGCUACUUUGACAAGUGACACCCCAAAGAGAACAAGUGAAGGUUUGACUGUUAGUUCUACUUUGACCACUGGUACCCCACAGAGUUCAACUGAAAGAGAUCAAAGUUCCCCAAAAAAUGAUGUGGAAGCCAACCAAGAGAGCAGUUUGGUGAUAUUAUGGCUUGCUGCAGUGGGUGUGGCUUCUGGAGUGGGUGUGUUCCUGGUGGGAUUGACAGUUGUUCGUCUCUGUAAGAAGACCAAAAGAAAGAAAUCUCAGAGACCUCCAGCCCAACAAGACAAUCAUGACCAACGUAUGGCCCAAUACAAACACUAAACACCACACACUAUGACUACUAUAUGUACAAACACACUAUAGACCAAUCAGCAUAUCAUUUCUGUUGUAGAAUUUGUGAUGGGAACCAAUAGGAGUGGAAGCAUGGUCGACUCAGGGAAUGACAGGCUUUGUUCUUUAAUGAGUUGUUUAUGACGGGCAGAGCGAAAACAUGCCUUGUGUAGACUAGCUACAUGAUGCCAGCUAGCUAGGUAGCGUACUUUAGCUUUCUCCAGGCUAAUUGAGAAUAAAUGUUUUAACUGUACGAUUUCUAAUCACACAAUCCAUUCAGAUUCAUUGAUAAUUAGCAAAUCUACCUUGUAGUUCCAUCUUCACAUGAUUUGCUACUGUAGAUAUAUCUCCUCAAGUGCCUAAAGUCAGUGUCACUUUGAUUACAUUGUGAUCACGAUGUGAAUUGGCAAGCUAAACAUGCCAAUUCACAUGGAAUUUUAUUAUUUUAACCAAAUACACAAGAAAAUGCCUGUAUAAACUUUAAGUUAAAGUUUCAGUUUGUGGCUUCCCUAGUUUUCACUGCAAUUUGUCCAAAUGUUCACUUUCCCAUUCUAUAUUGCUAUACAAUUCCCAGAAAUGCCUUGUCAAUAAGAUUUGAGGGUGUUGGAACUUUUUCUAUUUCAAAUCUUAGGUUAAUAUUGAGGAAGUUCUUGAUAAAAGAUUGUGUGACAUACAAUUCAGUCAUGUACAAGAAUGAUGACAAUCAUAGCACAUGUCAACAAAAUUGAAAUGGCAGUAUUGGGUUUGUAUAGGCAGACGCUCAAAGUUCUUUACUUGGAAUCGGUAUUGACUAUGAAAAGGUGUCUUAAUUCCAGUAGUACGAGAUGAUUUGGCCAUGAUGACGACAAGAUUGAAGUGUAGCCAGGUAACUAGGUAUAACACUCUUACUGUUUCAAUCAGUGCCAUGGCAUCUUUAGUGACCACAGACUCACACAGAAUAUUGUGUCCAAUCCAGUUGUUUAGCAGAUUGGAUUUUGGGUGAUUGGAUUUACAAAUAUCCAUGAAAACCUUUAACUAAUGCGCUUGUGUGCGCACAAACAUACACAUGGUUCUACUAUCAAAGUGAGAACUGGCAAUUUCCUACUAAAAUGUUUUGUUUUUAAUGACUUUGUAUGACUUUCUUUGUGGGGAAUGCUGACAGACACAUUAUCUCUCAUUAUGUCUCUUUCUGUGUGGUACAGGUCCUGUUGGAGAGAAUGGAGAAUCAUCUGAAUAUGUCAAUGUAAGCUCUGAAUCAUUGUUUUAUAACUUACAGUUUUUUGUUUUAUUUCUUAUGAAACUAAGCACCCGUUACCACUUUACUGCACCGUUUCUUUAGAAGCCUGUAAUGAAACUGUCUUUUCUCUCUCUAGUUUGAUACAUACCAGGAGUACUAUUCAAUCCAGCCUCAGCCCAAUGGCUUUCUGUAGAUAGUCUUCAAAGGUUUUAGUAUAGUUAAAUGUUCUAUUAUUAUUCUUUAUUCAAUCUCUUUGGAUUUGAAAUUGUCCACUUAUGUGCGAAAGUAUUAUCCAUAUUGGAUGAACAAUUUUAAAAUGACAAUGUUUUGUACAUAUUUCCUCCAUUAGGGUGCCAUAUGUAUUUCAACUGUUAUCUUCAAAACUGUUUCUUAUUAGAUUGUUUUUGAUUGCUUGUAUUAAAAGUGCAUAUCCAGCAG
Molecule: long non-coding RNA, 2477 nt
Organism: Esox lucius (northern pike)
Lineage: Eukaryota; Metazoa; Chordata; Actinopteri; Esociformes; Esocidae
Source: Ensembl